GCAAAAAUGGCCAGAGUGUCAGUUUUUAAGGCCAUUUAUUAUUGCUAAACUUCACCCAGAAAUUACAUCUAAGUCAUCACAAUUGGAAAGAAUUUCAGGAUGAGGUUUGACUUCCCAACUAAGCACUUUCUUUUUCAAAGAAUGAAAAAAUGAAAAAAUGAAAUAUACAAAAUUAGAGAGGGAGAGGUUAAUGUUUAUGCUUGUAAUAAUAAUCCUGGAAUAUAAGGAAUUAACAAGGUAUCUUUGUGCCUAUUAAAUUCUAGAUUACUGCUAAUUAGAAAAUUAUCUCUCUUAUAUUUACACGCACCCAAAAAUUCCCCACUAAUCCUAUUAUUAAUAUUGCUGUCUAACAAGUCCUCCAAUGAUUGCUCACUACCACCGUAGCUUUUUUGGUGCACCGAUCUGUAACUAUUCACAUCUUCUUUAUCUUCAAUUGAGUACAUGACUGUAUCACGGUCUUCUCUGUAAUUGCCUCUAACUGAGGUCCAGUUCUCAUCCCAGUCCCAAUUGGGACCCCCUGAAAGCAAGGACAACCGUCUGAUCCUCUCCUUGGCUGAAAUUUCAUCACUUCUUUGGACCUGAUUGUCUACAUUCUCUGAUUCUGAUUCUGAUUCAUCCAGUGAGUUCCAAAAGCCUUGGUCAAGAAUGCUUGUAGGAGAAUUUGAACUUGAAUUAGAUUUUUGAAUUUGUUUUGCAUGAGAAUUGGAUUUUCCCAGAAAAGGAUGCUUCAGAAGCUGAUUGGCUGUCCACCUCUGUUUUGGAUCUCUUCUUAAACACUUAUCCAAGAAAUCCCUUGCUUGCUCUGAUAGACUACAGGGGAACUCCGGCAACUGUUCGGAAAAUCCAAUCCGGUACAUAACAGAAAUUGGGUCAUUGACAUUAGGCCACGGUGCACCACCACUAGCCAUUUCAAUAAUUGUACACCCUAAAGCCCAUAUAUCACUAGCAAACCCCUGUUCCUCUCCACGCGCCACCUCCGGUGCCAUAAACAUGGGUGUGCCGCCAAUUGGCGCAGCUGACUCAGCCGCAGCCUCCACCGCGUCGAGCCUCUUCGCACACCCAAAAUCCGCAAUUUUGGCGCCAGUUUUCCCUAUUAAGACGUUCCUACCUUUGAUGUCACAAUGAACCCAGCCAUUUGAAUGUAGGUAAUCUAGACCUUGAACAAUUUCAUAAGUGUAGUAUCUGAUCACCGAUUCUUCUAACCGGCCACCGUGAGCCUGAACUGCAUCGGUAAGUGUACCGCCAGAAAUGUACUCCAAGAAAAGAUUGUACAUAACCUGGUUAUUCUCUCUAGUAAUGUCAUAGCCCUUGUAACUAACUAUAUGUGGAGAGGUUAGAGAAGAGAGAAUAUUUUGCUCCCUUUGCAAGAAUUGAGAUUGGUCGAGUUCGGCGGAUUUGACUGCCCAAACGUCACCGGAGUGGAUGGACUUGGCGAGGGAGACGGUGGCGGUGGAGCCAUGGCCUAAGGUGUGGCCUCUGGUCCAGUCCAUAUUGUAAGCUGAAAAGAGAAAAGAGAAAGAAAAAAGAAAUGCUUUGUUGGGUUUAUCUUGAGUUGGCUAUAAGCAGCUGCCACCCAAGUGUUUAUAUAUGAGGAGCUGAAAAACCAAUAAUUU
This 1613-nucleotide unclassified non-coding RNA is filed under the name Hevea brasiliensis (rubber tree). Lineage: Eukaryota; Viridiplantae; Streptophyta; Magnoliopsida; Malpighiales; Euphorbiaceae. The record is from RNAcentral.